GUGGGGAAUUUUGGACAAUGGGCGAAAGCCUGAUCCAGCCAUGCCGCGUGCAGGAUGAAGGCCUUCGGGUUGUAAACUGCUUUUGUACGGAACGAAAAGACUCUGGUUAAUACCUGGGGUCCAUGACGGUACCGUAAGAAUAAGCACCGGCUAACUACGUGCCAGCAGCCGCGGUAAUACGUAGGGUGCAAGCGUUAAUCGGAAUUACUGGGCGUAAAGCGUGCGCAGGCGGUUAUAUAAGACAGAUGUGAAAUCCCCGGGCUCAACCUGGGAACUGCAUUUGGGACUGUAUAGCUAGAGUACGGCAGAGGGGGAUGGAAUUCCGCGUGUAGCAGUGAAAUGCGUAGAUAUGCGGAGGAACACCGAUGGCGAAGGCAAUCCCCUGGGCCUGUACUGACGCUCAUGCACGAAAGCGUGGGGAGCAAACAGGAUUAGAUACCCGAGUAGUCC
This 450-nucleotide ribosomal RNA is filed under the name uncultured bacterium. RNAcentral describes it as "partial 16S ribosomal RNA". It matches the Rfam family "Bacterial small subunit ribosomal RNA", at positions 354 to 796 of the family's 1533-position model. The record is from RNAcentral.